ACGGGAGGCAGCAGUGGGGGAUAUUGCACAAUGGGGGAAACCCUGGUGCAGCGACGCCGCGUGAGUGAUGAAGUAUUUCGGUAUGUAAAGCUCUAUCAGCAGGGAAGAAAAUGACGGUACCUGACUAAGAAGCUCCGGCUAAAUACGUGCCAGCAGCCGCGGUAAUACGUAUGGAGCAAGCGUUAUCCGGAUUUACUGGGUGUAAAGGGAGCGUAGACGGUGACGCAAGUCUGAAGUGAAAGGUGUGGGCUCAACCCGCAAACUGCUUUGGAAACUGUGUGACUAGAGUGUCGGAGAGGUAAGUGGAAUUCCUAGUGUAGCGGUGAAAUGCGUAGAUAUUAGGAGGAACACCAGUGGCGAAGGCGGCUUACUGGACGAUAACUGACGUUGAGGCUCGAAAGCGUGGGGAGCAAACAGGAUUAGAUACCCUGGUA
RNAcentral lists this ribosomal RNA (434 nucleotides) under uncultured bacterium. RNAcentral's name for it is "partial 16S ribosomal RNA". It matches the Rfam family "Bacterial small subunit ribosomal RNA", at positions 341 to 792 of the family's 1533-position model. The record is from RNAcentral.